AGGGUUGUUAAAUGAUCGAGGAAGUGUUUGAAUUAAUAAUAUUUCUAUGGAAGUGUUAGGAUUGUGUAUGAGUGUUGUAAUUAAUUUACUCAUAUUGUGAUUAAUACAUCAAUAAAAACAGAAGUAAUGUUAUAAUUUAAGGUACAGAAGAUGUUUGAAUACUGUAUUAGAGAGAUAAAAACCUAAAGAAACAGAAGUAAAUAAAAGGAAUUAAAGGAAACCCCAAGUUGUUAUUACGAGAGGUUUUGAUCUGAUAACAGUUGGAGGGUGUAAUGUUGUACAGAGGUAGAUGAAAAGUUGGAUAAUUGAAUUACAAACAUAGCUGAUGGAUUGAUACUUGCAACAAACAAAAGACCCAAACACACAUGAAAUAAAGGGAAAGGAGUAACAUUUAUGAAAGGACAAAAUACUUAGAAAGUUGGCAUUUACUGUGUAUUACAGAAGGGAAUAUCAUCCAUAAAGGAACACAAGACUGGAAUAAUCGUCCUAGGAUAGAUAGCUACCAAGAAAUCAUACUAUUUGAGUGAGCACUAAUUUUUGAUCCACAAUGCCAAGCAAGCAGACGUUCUGCUGGUGUUUUGGCGGGAGACCUCCAGAUAUCAAGUAUGGUAUAGAUGGUGACACACAGCUGAAGUCCAUGGCGCUAGAUAUCCCCAUGCCAACAGACGAGAAUGAGCUCAAUGCCAUGUUUGAGGAACUAGUGGCUGAACUGGACCUUGAUAAGCCACACAGGGACGCUUUGUUUAAUCUACAACCAGAGAAAAAAUGGCAGAUAUACUGUAGCAAAAAACAGGUUUACUUUGUCAAAAUACUCGUAUUUUUCAAAGUACU
Mercenaria mercenaria is the source of this 831-nucleotide RNA transcript. It is a transcript of the gene named disheveled-associated activator of morphogenesis 1-A-like, with no coding region annotated. The record is from RefSeq and is a predicted model, not a curated record. NCBI's taxonomy places the organism in Eukaryota, Metazoa, Mollusca, Bivalvia, Venerida, Veneridae. The transcript has 5 exons.